This 1240-nucleotide ribosomal RNA is filed under the name metagenome. RNAcentral describes it as "bacterial LSU rRNA". It matches the Rfam family "Bacterial large subunit ribosomal RNA", at positions 1564 to 2813 of the family's 2925-position model. The record is from RNAcentral.
UGAAUACGAGACGCUAAGGCGUCGAAGUAGUGUAUGUCAUACUUCCAAGAAAAGCUUGCACUGUCAUAAGUAAAAAAUGCCUGUACCAUAACCGACACAGGUGGGUAGGUAGAGUAUACUAAGGGGCGCGAGAUAACUCUCUCUAAGGAACUCGGCAAAAUAACUCCGUAACUUCGGGAGAAGGAGUACCUUAUUCUAUAAGGUUGCAAUAACAAGAUCCAAGCAACUGUUUAUCAAAAACACAGGUCUCCGCUAAGUCGUAAGACGAUGUAUGGGGGCUGACGCCUGCCCAGUGCCAGAAGGUUAAAGAAGUCGGUUAGCAUUAGCGAAGCUGGUAACUGAAGCCCUGGUGAACGGCGGCCGUAACAAUAACGGUCCUAAGGUAGCGAAAUUCCUUGUCGGGUAAGUUCCGACCCGCACGAAAGGCGUAAUGAUUUGGAUACUGUCUCGGAGAGGGGCUCGGUGAAAUAGACUUGUCUGUGAAGAUGCGGACUACCUGCACCAGGACAGAAAGACCCUAUGAAGCUUUACUGUAACUUGAAAUUGAAAUUGGACUUUAUUCGCGCAGUAUAGGUGGGAGGUGUUGAUUAUAAUCUUGCGGGAUUAUUGGAGCCAUCAGUGAGAUACCACUCUUGUAAUGUUAGAUUUCUAACUUUGAAUCAUUAUCUGGUCAAAGGACAGUUUCAGGCGGGCAGUUUGACUGGGGCGGUCGCCUCCCAAACGGUAACGGAGGCAUACAAAGGUUUCCUCUGAACGGGUAGAAAUCGUAUCUAGAGUGUAAAGGCAUAAGGAAGCUUGACUGUGAGACCUACAAGUCGAACAGGGACGAAAGUCGGUCUUAGUGAUCUGACGGUACUGAGUGGAAAGGCCGUCACUCAACGGAUAAAAGUUACUCUAGGAUAACAGGCUGAUCUCCCCCAAGAGUUCACAUCGACGGGGAGGUUUGGCACCUCGAUGUCGGCUCAUCGCAUCCUGGGGCGGUAGUACGUCCCAAGGGUUGGGCUGUUCGCCCAUGAAAGCGGUACGCGAGCUGGGUUCAGAACGUCGUGAGACAGUUCGGUCCAUAUCCGGUGUAGGCGUUAGAAUAUUGAGAGGAGCCUUCUUUAGUACGAGAGGAACGAGAAGGACAUACCUCUGGUGUACCAGUUAUCGUGCCAACGGUAAACGCUGGGUAGCUAUGUAUGGAGUGGAUAACCGCUGAAAGCAUCUAAGUGGGAAGCCCACCUCAAGAUAAGUAUUC